UAGUCAUAUGCUUGUCUCAAAGAUUAAGCCAUGCAUGUGUAAGUAUAAGUAUUGUACAGCGAAACUGCGAAUGGCUCAUUAAAUCAGUUAUAGUUUAUUUGAUAAUCGAAAGUUACAUGGAUAACCGUGACAAAUUACAGCUAAUACAUGCAGCAAAACUCCUAUGGAGUUGUAAUUAUUAGUACUAAACCAAUUCCUUCGGGAAUGUGAUGAAUCAUAGUAAUCGAACGAAUCGCAGAAUUCUGCGAUAAAUCAUUCAAGUUUCUGCCCUAUCAGCUUUGGAUGGUAGUGUAUUGGACUACCAUGGCAAUCACGGGUAACGGAGAAUUAGGGUUCGAUUCCGGAGAGGGAGCCUGAGAAAUGGCUACCACAUCUACGGAAGGCAGCAGGCGCGAAAAUUGCCCAAUCCCGAUACGGGGAGGCAGUGACAAGAAAUAACAACUCUCAACUUUGUUGAGAAGUGUAAUGAGGAUAAUUUACAAACCUUACCGAAAGCAAUU
This 500-nucleotide ribosomal RNA is filed under the name uncultured eukaryote. RNAcentral's name for it is "SSU rRNA". It matches the Rfam family "Eukaryotic small subunit ribosomal RNA", at positions 21 to 549 of the family's 1831-position model. The record is from RNAcentral.